GCUCUGUGACUCUGGACAAAAGACUUAGCCUUUCUGAGCCGUGGUUUGUAAAAUAUAAGGAUAAUAAUUGCUACUGGCAAAAGCUACACAAAUAGGCAAAUUGUGGGUGUGGGUUUCCCUCCCUACCUCCCUCCACCCCAGGGCCCAGGUAGGGACCAUGUCCCCUGCCAUUGCACUGGCCUUCCUGCCACUGGUGGUAACAUUGCUGGUGCGGUACCGGCACUACUUCCGAUUGCUGGUGCGCACGGUCUUGCUGCGAAGCCUCCGAGACUGCCUGUCAGGGCUGCGGAUCGAGGAGCGGGCCUUCAGCUACGUGCUCACCCAUGCCCUGCCCGGUGACCCUGGUCACAUCCUCACCACCCUGGACCACUGGAGCAGCCGCUGCGAGUACUUGAGCCAUAUGGGGCCUGUCAAAGGUCAGAUCCUGAUGCGGCUGGUGGAGGAGAAGGCCCCUGCUUGUGUGCUGGAAUUGGGAACCUACUGUGGAUACUCUACCCUGCUUAUUGCUCGAGCCCUGCCCCCUGGGGGUCGCCUUCUCAC
RNAcentral lists this small RNA (540 nucleotides) under Pongo abelii (Sumatran orangutan). Its description in RNAcentral is "retained intron". Lineage: Eukaryota; Metazoa; Chordata; Mammalia; Primates; Hominidae. The record is from RNAcentral.